GCGGGGACAUGUGGGAGCUGAAAUCCAGCCCACCCUCCCCUGGCCAAGCUAUGCCCCUUGGCACUGGGCUGCAUCAGUUGAGAAGAAGGGGAGCUUUUUUCUUAGUACAAAGGUGUCCUGUCCUCCCCACCCCAUGGGCUCAUGGUGCUGCAUCUGCCCAAAAGAGGGUCUUUUUCUAAGGACACAAAGGCACCAUGAAUGAGCGUGCCCUGGCUGGUGAGGAGAGGGAAGCUAGCAAAGGAGGCCAGUGCUGUGUCUGGGUCCAACAGGACUCUCACUCUCCCUGGCCUUGGCUGACCCCACAAUGCUCCCCUCCACUCUGAUGGGUCUGUUGCAGACACCACUCUGCCCUUGAGAGGCACCCCAUGGAGGAAUGAGAAGUAGGUUCUUUCAAGAGCUCAAAUCAAGUUGAACCAAAAAGAGAAGGAAGGCUCUGAGAGAAGAGUUUCAGUCUGGAGAGACAGCUGGCGGGCGUGGGGUUCAGAUCGGUUUUACUUUUGCCUCCUCCCAAGAAAGGCCCUGAAGAAAGAAGGUCACCCCUCAGGGAGGUCAGCCCUCAGGAGAGUACCUUCCCUCCUGCAAAUAAACCUUCAGAACUUGCAGGAACCCCUCACCCCAUCGCCUUUCUUUCCUUUGCUCACUAAUCCAGGAAUGGGCCAGUACAAACUAAGAGGCAGGCACUCUUAAGGAUAUGAAGAUUUUCCAAAGGAUACGUAUUUUGGUGUGGGUCAUUUGAAGAGACUCACGGGACCAAAUCCUCAACUUCUGCUUGGCUGUCUUAUACAGGUGACCUGUCUGAGUACAUGCCAGUGGAUGCUGCUGCUGUGGUUCUCCCUCCUGCCUCCCCUUUCUCCCAUUUCCCCCCAAAAAGGGCAUACCUCUUACCGAUCCCACAUCUUACCAUGGUGCAUUGACCAGGGAAAAUGUCCAGUGCAGUGAAGGGAGAAUCUAAAUCCUGGUAUCCAUGCUGAGAAAAUGAGCAGGAGCAACUCUAAUGACCGAACAAAUCAACUAGCUUUCAAUUCCCUGCCUUUACUCAAAGUGAAGGAGAAUCAAUUCUAGCGGUCAGCUGAUAGAUUUUUAAUGAUCGGCCCAUAUGAUUUUUGGCAUAUAACUCGAAAGGAAUUUAUACAGUUGAAUGACACUGCUAUCACCAAAGUCCUUGCAUUCCUUUGUCCUUAUGUGAAAAAGGUUUCUGAGCUGAGCAUCAAUUUUUAAAAAAGAAAAACAGGAAUAGAAUUAAUGCUGAACUCUGACCCUUUCUAGCAAUAACGAUUAUUCACCCAUGAAUAUAGGAACUAACUGGGAUGAAGAAGGAAGCGUCAUUUCCUUAAAAGAUGCAUUUCAAAUUAAUUAUUCUUUAUGCUUUCUUGUUACCUAUUACAAUUUGUAAAGCAUUUGUUUUGAUUGUGUACUAGUCAUCCUGGUACAAAUGAAGACAAAAUGUUCUUUAACACUGAGUAUAUGGUCACAGAAAAAUUUAAAAGUAAAUUCGUCUUAUACACAUAGUUUUGUUGGGAAGAAGUAUGAUAGAGUGAAGGGUGAUACAUAAAAGACUUUGAACCGUAAAAAUAUAUUCUGCUAAAAUUCUGUACGGGAAGUAGAAGAGAAAUAUAAGUUCAAGGAGAAAAAAAGAAAUGAAAUUUGUUCAAAUUGUUCAUGUAGUUUUAAAAGGGAUGAUGGUUGUAUCCAAUCACAAUAGCAUUACAUUUAGAAACAUUUUUCAGAGUACUGUGACAGUUUUAUUUUAAAAUGUCAAAUAUUUGCAAUACACCAGAAAGUAGACUCUAUGUAACUAUUUAAACUUAUGAAAACAAUUUAAAUGUUUGCACCUAAAAAUGUGCAAGGGGUACACAGAUUUUCAAAAUUCUUUUAGGAGUCUGCAAGGAAAAUGUUUAGAGAACCAGGGUCACGGAGCUGGCGCUUCCCUGCAAGGGGAGUGUACUUAGACGUAAAACCAAGGGCUCUGGGGAUGGGAGGGCACCCUCAAAGUUAGGGGGUAAACUCUCACUGGGGCUGGGUUGGUGGCAAAGGAGCCAAGGCGCUCCCUCUUCACCCUAGCAAUACUUUCCUCUGGUCUUUUGUUUUCUUGUUUUAUUUUCAGCGUUCCUCUAAAAUCCCAUUCUCUCCACUACAGAUGCUCUGCCAGGUCAGGGUGCGUUCUGCUCUGCGUUUUUCCAUCCUGCCUAAACGGCGGGGUCUUACUCUGUCCCACAGGCUAGAGUACAGUGGCGCAAUCAUGGCUCAUACGGCCUCGACUUCCCUGGCUCAAGCAAUUCUCCAACCCAGCUUCCCAAGUAGCUGGGACUACAGGCACUCGCCAACACGCCCUGCUAUUUUUAAAAUUUUUUGUAGAGAUAGGGUCUCAUUAUGUUGCCUGGACUGGUCUCUAACUCCUAGAUUCAAGCAAUCUGCCCACCUCAGCCCCCCAAAGUGUUGGGGUUACAGAUGUGAGCCACUGCACCCAGCAUUCUUCUUCUUCUAAAAACUGGCCUAGACAAAAAAAAAUUGCCUAAAGUUGAAUAGCUAAUAAAGUGUGAAAAAUUGAGGGUUACAGUUUAUCCAAAGGGAUGAACUCUGAUUUAGGUUAAUUUGAGUCUAGAGCCCAGCCUCUUAGCCUCCACACUCUGAACUGUCUGCCACAAUAGUAACUAGGAAGAAAUAAGAAUACAACACUGCAUAUACACCAUCAGGCCAGUGAUGUGUAUAUAUGUGUAUACAUUUGCCACUACACACAAUGUAUGCAGAGGAAAAGGAUGGGAAGACAGACUCCCACAUUUUCACUAUGGUAUCUCUCAGUGGUACAAUCACCAGUGAUUUAGAUUUUCUUUUAAAUUUUCUAUAAUGUGUGUGUGUGUGUAUUAAUUUAACAAUUAGAUAAAAUGUUAUGUACAGGUCGAUUUCACUAAAAAGCCAGGUGCUGAUUACAGCAGUAUUCAUUAUAAUGAAAACUUGAAAGUAGCUCACAUAUCAAUUACUGUUGAUACUCGGGUCACUAUUGGAUUUGUUAAGUGAGUUAUAAAAUAUAUAUCUAUUGCAAUAGUUUGCAGCCAUUGAAAAUGAAGAUUACAAAGACCAAGUGAAACCAUUAUGUGAAAAAAUAAAAAAUGCUAGGCAUAUUAUGCAUAAUUAUUUGAGGAUAUCAUUGUAAAAUCUGUAAGGAAAGAGGAAAUGAUAACUGCAACAGGAUAGUAAAAUUAAAUUUGAUUUAAAAAUAUUUUUUGAACUUCUAUAACAUUUUUCUAUUUCUUGUUUAAUAAUAAAACUAGUUUCAUUGAUUUAAGGUUUAGUAUCAAAAUUAGCAUGGAACACCUAGAUGCCUCUUUUGCCUUUUAGAGUAUGCUUUCUGCUUCAUCUCAUUUUAUGGCCCAAACAUCCCAAUGCAAAUAGGCAUUUUCUCUCCCACGUUAAUGACAGGACAGUUAUGGCCAAGAAAAAGUGAGCAAGUUGCUUGAUGUAAACUAGCAGGUGAAUGGCAACGCUGCACUAGAACCCUAGGCUUGCAAGCUCCCGCCUCAAGGCUCUGGCCUAUAAACGCACAGUGAUUCUCUCACAUAGAGGGCUGCAAAGCCCUGCCUAGAGAAUACAAACUGCUAUUAUUAAGACCCCAAACCCAAGAUCCAAGUGUAGGUUCUCUCUAGUGGGUAAGCCUGGAGGCAGGAAACAUGCCUGUUAAUGCUCUUGGUCUUCAGAAUGGGAAGUCAAAGGCCUAAAGCAUUCUCCUGCACUCUCCAAACUCAUCCACCCACCCACUUCCCCCCAACCAUACACACACAGCCACCCUUGUCCUCAAAAGCAGUCUCCCUGGUAACGUGUUCUGCCCUUGGAUGGAGACAGAGGCCAGUGGAUUUGUAGUUUAUCCUCUUCUUGCAGUUUAAGGUACAACCCUGCCCACAACCCCAGUAAGAGAAGCAAGGAUCCCCGAGGCCAGAAUGUGCCAAAGUCCAGUUGCAAACCAGGCCGGUAUCAGUGAAAUAAGCCUGGAAAGAGAGAUGAGAAGAGGUCAAGGGUCAGCGACAGCUGGUGAAGCCAGCACUGGGGUGGGGAUUGGGGGCCUGGAGAGCCCCAGAAAAGUUGGUCAUGGGCCCCUGGUCCCUCACUUAAUAGAUAUGUGACUUGCCAGGGUCACACAGCAGCUGGAGAGAACGGGGAGUGAGCCCAAUCUAAAGCCCAAAGGAAUCCAUCAAAGACAGGGCCACAAUUCCACAAAGCCAGGCUCUAUUCAUUCAUUCAAGAUAUACCCAGCACCCUUCUUGCUAACCAUAUCUUUCUGAUUUUUAUGGGGCCAGAGCCAAUACCCUAGCCCUCACCCCACUCCCUAGUCCCUUGGUGGGGCUGAUGAACCUCAUGGCUCAAAGUGGGAAAAAUCUGGGAAGUCACAGGUAAAGGGGUGGUCAUCUCUCCAGGGCAACAAACUGAAACUCCAAAGCACAUGAAACAAACCAAUGGGCUGAGAGUCCAGGAGAUGUCCGAGUCUGAGGAUUCCACAGCACAGUGGGGAAAGUUUCUGGAAGGUAGAAGGAGGCAGGAAGAGGUGCCUCUCAACUCAAGUAGUCAAGAAAUUUAAGCAUGCUUUAAAGAACUAAGAGAAAACUGAAAGGUAUGGAGGUGUGGUAAUGGCACAAAAAUUUAAAAGGGGGAGCUAAGCCUAGGUUUAGCAGUCCUGCUGGCAGGUGAGGGUCCCCAGUAAGGAGAAAGGGAGGUGAGAGUGCGUGGAUAAGGUGAUGCUUCCUCUGCUGGCCUGAAGGAUUUCUGUAAACAGUGCAUGUGUUUGUUCCUGCCUUGGGGUGGGAUUGUCAUCAUGUUAGCCACUUCUGCUACUAAAGACAUAGGUGAAGCUAAUGGUAUUCUUUGCAAGGAAAAGGAAUAUCAUUGUCCCCAGAAACUAUUUACAGGGGGCUUUCCAAAAAAAAUGUUUUAAGUGUGCAUUGGUUGGAGCUGGCUGAUGAUGGGGCAUUGGCUUUCCUACUUCUGCGGAGUUGCUGAGAGUUAUUUUGAGCAAGGAAGGGGAGAGGCAAGUGCAAGAACUGGCACACAGUAAAAUGAGGCCGUGUCCCUUACAUACUUUGGAGCUCCCAGUGGCUUCCCACUCUAGUUAGGAUAAAUCCAAAUUCCUUAAAUGCCGCCCACAAGACCCACAAAAGCCUUAUCCUUUCUCUUUCUCCUCCACACACUUAGCAAAGCCCCAUUGGUCUCCUUCUUGCUCCUUAAACCAACAGAGCUGUUUUUGCCUUGAUGCCCCCAUGGUUCAAGUGUUGCUGCGGUCUGCAUGUCAGUGUCCCCCUAAAAUUCAUGUGUUGACACUUAAUCCCCAAGGUGAUAGUGUUAAGAAGUGGGGCCUCUGGGAGGUGAUUAGAUUGGGAGGGCUCUGCUCCUCAUGAAUGAGAUUAGGUGCCUUGAUCUUGGACUUCCCAGCCUCCAGACUGUGAGCAAUGAAUUUCUCUUGUUUAUAAAUUGCCCAGCCUAAGGUAUUUUCUUAUAGCAGCCCAAACAAUCCAAGACAGAUGUGACACGCUUGCCGUUCCCUCUGCUUAGAAUGAAUGCCCUUCCUGUUUCCCCAGUUCCCUCCUCCCCUUCUUCUGUUUUUGUGUCUGGCUCCUUCCCUUCCUUUAGGUGCAAGGGAGAUUUAGGAAGAGGCCUUCCUUGAGCUGGGGUCAUGGAAGGCCAUGCUGCCCAUAACCCUUUACUUCUCCUUAACACUUUAACCAAUCCCAAGUC
Molecule: long non-coding RNA, 5718 nt
Filed under: Homo sapiens (human)
Lineage: Eukaryota; Metazoa; Chordata; Mammalia; Primates; Hominidae
Description: HSALNT0031176
Source: RNAcentral